This is a long non-coding RNA of Apis cerana (Asiatic honeybee), 4850 nucleotides long. RefSeq lists it as uncharacterized. NCBI's taxonomy places the organism in Eukaryota, Metazoa, Arthropoda, Insecta, Hymenoptera, Apidae. The record is from RefSeq and is a predicted model, not a curated record.
CUGUCGUAUUUUUCAAAUAACUAAUGAAAGUUGUUAUUUUCCUUUCUUUUCUGAAUGUAAUCAAAGGAUAAAGAUAAUACCAAGAAGACACUUUAUCGGAUAUGUUUGAAAGGAAUUAUCUUUAGGUAUGUUUGCAUGGAAGAUAAACUUAAAUUAUGACCAUAAGUUCUUGAGAAAAUAAAUGGUCUCCGUUAAAAAUAGCGGAAUACAACGAAUUCCAGGUGGCUGUCAUACGGAAGUCCUAUAGACAUAUCUUAUCUGUCUUCUUUGAAAAGUACAUAUAUAUAAAUGUGCCCAUAUGUAUAUCCGUACAUUGGUAUGUGUGAAUAUAUGGAUUUUCGACAAUCUCCAUACUUUUUUUUAUGCAUAAUUGUUUGUUUUUUAGAAAUGUCAAUUUUUAGGAAGCUGCUAUUAUUAAAACGAUGUUUGAAUAGCUCUUACCAGGCUAUCUAAUUUUUAUUGCGAGAUUGUUCGGUUGGAGGAUAUAUCUAUUGUCGAAAAUGAGAUUUUUUGAAAUAUGACUAUCAUUUUUUAAAUCUAAUAUUUUUUCAAAUAUAUAACAUAUUUAAAUAUUCAUCUUCAUAUAGUAAUAAUAUAACUUUUUAGCUCAUUUAAAAAUUUUUGUUUAAUUAUAAUUAUAAAAUAAUUUUUGUUUUUAUGAAUAUUAUGAUACGAUAUGAGAGAAUAUUAUAAUGUAUUAAAAUUAAAAAUAAAAUUUAUAAAAAUUUAUUAAAUUAUUAAAAAAUUAUUGUAUAAAAAGAUCGUAAGUAUUGUAUAAAGCUAUAUCUUUAAAUUCUUUAAUUUGUAUGCUAUUAUUCCAGAUUUACAGUUCUAUUAUCAUACGUGUCCGCACAUUUCAAAGCAAUGGAACAAAAUGACUGGCUCUUUGCUUUCACACAAUGGUCGAAAAGAAAAGAACGGAAGAAAAGCGCGGAAAACGAGCGAGCUAUGCGCAUCGCGAAUGUUUUGACUCGAAGCGAGUAUUCGUGAGCCUCGAAUGAGCGAAGAACUUGUGUCCCCAUUUAUUCCUGCAGCUGCGACUGCAAAAUCAGUGCACGGUUCGCCGACUAGAGGCCACGACUCGUGUCAGGACACCGAGGUCGUGCUUACGACCCCUCUUUCUUCGAUGGUGUCGUUGCCCGAUUAGGUACGCAAAGACAAGCGGAAAAACGAGGUUACAUCGAAUCGAACGUAAAAACAAUUGUUUUCCAUAUAUUUGUUUCUUAAUCCUUCUAUUGCAUAUUUGUUUUCUAUUUUUGAAAAAUAUUCGAUAAAAAAUCUUUCAUUUUUAAUUUUUAUUGCAUUUUACAUAUUAAUAAUAUAUAUAUCAUAAUUUUAGAAUUGUUUAAUAUCUAUCGAUAGUUUUUUUUUUAAUAUUGCAAACGAUAUUAGGAUACUUCUUGUAAUUUUUUAUAAUUUUUUAAACAUUAUAAUUUUUACAUUAACUUAUUUAUUUUUGUUUUUAAUUAAUAAUAAAAUUCAUUUAGUGAGAAAAUUGUUCAAAAAAGAUUUCAAAAAGAAUAGAUUUCAAAAAUUAGAUAAUUAAUUAAAUAUAUCAGAAGAUAUUAAUAUAUAUUAAUAUAACAUUAAUAUGAUAAAAGAAAAUUUUAAUAUUGAUUAAAGAUAUUUCAUAUAUUCUCAUAUUAUAUAGAAAAAAUGAUAAAAGAAAGCUUAGAUUAUUAGAUUUCUUCUAAGUUUAUUUAUUCUUGAUGAUUGGCAAAGAACAUCAUAAAAAACUCGUAAAGAACUUUUAUGGGGAAUGAAAAUGUGUAUUGUCAAUCGAAAAAAUUAUAGCGAAAUUAUAUUUAUUUCUUAAAUCUUAUUGAUAUUGGAAUUGAGAUCAAAAAUAUAAUAUUUUAUUCUUUGAAAUUUUUUAAUUAUUAGCACGAUUAUGAUUCGAUACAUAAAAAGAAUCCAAUUUCUAUACAAUAAUCUCAAAAUAUAUCUUGUAUUAACUUAAGUAUUUAUUUUUCAAUUUUAUUUUUAAUACUAUAAUCAAAAUGCAUAAUCAAAAUCUUUAAUUUUCAAGAUAUACAAAAUCAUGAUAAUAAAUUUAUAACGAAUAUAUAUUCUAAAAUUUGAUUUAAAAAAUAAAGAAAUAUGAAAUUUUUUUUACGAAAUGAUGGAAAUUAUACACGUGAGAACGGAGAUCUACAUCUUAUUUGCAUGAAAACCUAACGAGGCAUUGGUGGUCACGUGAGCAGAGCCCAUUCUUCAAACCAAAGAAUGAGACGGCUCCAGAAAAAGGGGGACGCUUCGUUUUCUCGAACGAACAAAACCACAGCCGGUAAAACGGCAUAAAAUAGAAGAGACCUGGAACAAAAUGGAACGAUCUAACAGCCUGCAGCAAGUCUGAUCUUAAUGACGACACAUACUGGCGGUCCAGUUACUGUUGGAUGAUCGUCUUUGACGUAAACCAGCACGGUUGAUUACUUCGAAACAGUCGGAUUGAUUGUUCGUGAAAUAUGAGUGAAACAAAAAAAAAAAAAAAAGAACGAAAGAGAGAUAGAAAGAUAAGUAAUAUGCAACAAUGAAAUAAAAAUGUUCUCUCUAGAGUAUACCUUGGUUUGUAUUAUACUGCACAUGAAAUAUAUCGAGAUGCUCCAGUUUCCUUUGUUUUUGAAAAGAUACUGAUAAACUAAGAACUAAUUUUUGACUCAAUAUUUCUAAAUAUCAUUUAUCAAUUUUUUCUUUAAUUUAUUCAAUUGUCGUCUCUCUUUCGUGAAUCCGUAUAUUUACUUAUAUAUUUAUUUCGUUUCUUUUAUAAAUUUUUUUGAAAUAUUAUUUAUUCGAUUGAAUGAUUUAAUUUUUGAAGAAAAGUAACAUAAUCUUUUAAAAAUUUCAGGAACUCUAUUAGCAUUGAAGUUACGUGCUAAUAAUGAUAAAUAUCAAGAAUGAAUACGGUAUAAAAUUUAUCGUGGUUUUUAAAUGGCAGCGGAAAUUAUCCUUUUAAAAAUUUUUUUCAAAUAUACAUCAUAACUAUGUGAUUUUUAGGACUUGAUGUAAUUUUUUAAAACUUCAGAAAUUACUGUGUUGAAGUUAUCUGAUAACAAUGAUAAAUCAGGAUUAACUAUGACGUAAAAUGUUACUGCGAUUCCAUAAAUGGCAACGGAAAUUAUCCUGAUCCUAUCCAAGAUAGAUAUCGUGGUGGUCGACGAUUAAUCAAAACACGAUACCGUUCACGAGGAGAACCGAUAUUCAAUUACCACAAAAUUAUCCUUACAUACUAAGAUCGUUGAGACCUGCUAACUGUAUUCCUAACUUUCUUCUAUGAGUUAGGCUAACGAUUGAGAGAAAUCGAUUAAUUCUUAAUUCUUGUUGAUUAAAAAACAAUAAACUGCAAGAAUUACCGUGAAAAUAUUUAAGUAAAUAGUAAUUUAAAAAAAGUAAUUUCUUUCUUUCAAUUAUAUUGUAUAAUUUCUUGUAUAUAAAAUUUUUGAACGAAUUCUACUAUAUAUUCACUUGAAAUCAACUGAAACACUUUACUUUAUAUAAUCAAAUCAAAAUAAUUUCACUUAUAUGAAUAUUAAUAUAUAAAUUAAAAGUAUAUAAAAUAAGUCGAGUUAAACUUAAAAUUCAAGGUAAUAUAAAUAAUUCUUUAUCCUCAAUUCGUGUACAAUUAUUUUUAACCGUAUGUCACGUUCAAUAUCCAAUCGAAUACGUUGAAUUUCUAGAAGAAAAGAAUCGGUAAUAGGUUUAUGCGAAUCGACAUGAGUACCCGGGCACCGUCGCCAACGAGAGGAAAGGACGAGGCACCGAAGGCUCCAGGGCAACCACGACGAGUCUCCGAAUCCGAUGUGCGCUCCAGCCCGAUCAAUAACACGGGGCGUGCACCACACCGAGCCACCCUCUUCCUUCUUGCCAGCUAGGGGUCCUCGUUUGGUACCCCGGCUGACCUUCGAAAUUACCGAUCUAUCGAACAGAGGCAACUUGGAAUUUUCUUGUUAGAGACAACGCCCUCUUAGAUUCUGGAAACAUUAUUAUUCUAAGGGCAGAAUUUAUUUUGAGAAUAAGCACGACGCCACAUGAUAUUCAAAGGGUCGAAUGCCGUUCGAGGACCGUUUCACUGUCGGCGACCCGUAUUUACGUACGAAGUGGCUGCCACUCGAUCCCGAAAUAAGUCCUCGCGCGCAGGCUGCGCACCCUAAUUCACUGGCCAGGCUGAUAUGCGCGUUAACGCCGCCAAUGGUUUUAAGCCCGAUGCUCGCACGCCUCGAAAUAGAGAUUAAAAAGCGACGCACGCAUGAGAAAUAGGAGAAAAAUGACGUGCACGAUUAUCGGGGAUAUGCGCUUGGCAACUUCGAAAUCCCCGCCUUUUUUCAGAUCAGAUAAAAACCAAUUUGUCAUUGGUUAUCGGAAACAGGAAUAUUUUCGAAAGUAACGCAUAGAUAAUUUUCUUGGGAACGGUGGGAAUAUUUUUGAGUUAUGAAAGUGGAAAGUGGUUUAACACGUUCGCCACGUAUAAGGUGUCUUGAAUUCGAGUUGUAAUAUAUUUUAAAGUACAGUCGAUCGCGAAAGUCUUUGUGUAUUAUUAUCUCGCAAAAAUUUAUUUUGUUGAUGAAAGUUUUUUGCGUAAAUACAUAAAUAAUAGAUUAUAUGCAGAGAUUGGAAUUUUUUUUCUCUUUUUUAAAUAUAAUUUUGUCUAGAAAUAUUUUUUGCAAUUAGAACGUUAAAGAUAUAUAAUGUUAUAAAUUUAAUAUAUACAUUCAUACGUAUAUAUAUAUAUAUGAAAAUUAUAUUUCUUGGAAAUAAUCGAUUAUUUGAAGUGACAAUAGUUUAUGGAAAUAACGAAAAAAUGAGGGGAAAAUAUGGUGUUUUCACAGCUGGAAAAAUAAAUGAUUUAUACCGAU